Molecule: long non-coding RNA, 1587 nt
Filed under: Triticum aestivum (bread wheat)
Lineage: Eukaryota; Viridiplantae; Streptophyta; Magnoliopsida; Poales; Poaceae
Description: long non-coding RNA (TAES_LNC018869)
Source: RNAcentral
AAAACCCCUGCUAAAAUCAAAAUGUUCUUCUGGCUGCUAGCUCGCAAGAGUAUUCUAACCAAAGAUAAUUUGAUCAAAAAAGGGUGGAAAGGAGGAAAAGAAUGUGUGUUCUGUGGACAUGAGGAAAAUACCAACCGCCUGUUCUUUGAGUGUUCAGCUAACAGACUUGUCUUGUGUCUGAUAAAAUGUGCCUUUGAUUUGAGAACAAUGUUGGAACUGAUCUCAGGUUGUUAUAGACAGAAAUAAAAGGGGGAGUCCAAUCCCAGAUUGGUGCUUUGAUCGGGGGGCACCCAAACCCAACGUUUGGUUUCGGUCCCCGGUCCAUCAGCCCCUCAUAUAAAAGGAAGAGGUCACGUACCUCUUCAGAUAAGAAAAAACACAAACGGGUUAAAACCCCGAGUGCUAACAACCGAUCCUAAAAGAGGGAGCUGAUGGGCUGGAAGACCGUCUACCACCACCGGCCACCUCCAGGGCAGUGCCAGCAGCACCCUGCAUGUCCAUCUUCCUGCUGCUGCUUCUUCCCCAACAAGCUUCACACUGCAGGAGGCUCACGGCAGCUGCACAGAGCCCCAGCUGGUGAGCGACGCUGCUGCUGCUCAUCACGUAAUCCUGGUGUUGUCCUUCCCCGGCCAUGAAGGACCCAAGGUGCAGCCAUUGGACUAGUAAUAGAUUUACAAUGAUUCUGGUUAGUACCUAAUCUUCCGCAUAUGUAUUUUGGUGUUCUAAUCACGAGAUUAAGAUCAUGUCAUGUUAAUCCUAAAGAGUUACUCUAACAUUGGAAUCUAGAGCAAGGUUAAUCUCGGUUAGAACCCCAAUUAGACCUUGUUUUAAUGUUAAUCACUCAUGUCAGGGUCUAAUUGCUCAUGUUCUGGUACUAAUUAAUCGUCUUUAAGAUCUCAAGUGGUUACGUUAAGGUGCUGAUUAUAUUCUUAUGUGAUAAUAGUCAUGAUCUAGUAAUUAACUGAUUACAGGUCUGAAGUUAAGAUCUGAUUUCGGUCGUAUGCCAACUAAGACUCAAAGUUCAUGUGGUAAAAGUUUUAGUAGCUACGAGCUUUUCAAUUCGUAAUGUUUAUAGCUCAACAUCUAUUCAAGGUCUGUUAGCUAUUAAUCACGUGAGUUUGGAUCGGAAAGCAAUUAGAAGGAGGGGAAUAUGUAUGUUUCAAGAAACUACAAAAGAAAAAAUGUGCAAAAUGCUUGAGGUUAGGGCCUCACCUAAUGGCCGCGUCGUCGCCUCCUACCCUCCGGGAUUCGCACGCCGAAGCCGCGCCGCCGUUGACUCCCGUCGGAGAAGACGCGCGGGAAGAUGUGCCCCGCCGUGCCGCCCUUAAGGACUAAGACGCCGCUCGGUCUCCGCGCCCCGCACGUCUCUGUCGUCUCCCCUCUCGCCGUUGCACCGCUGCCUAAUGCCACGCGCGCAGCACGGGUAGCCACGCUCGACGGAGUAGCGCGCGGGAUCUCUCCGCUGCAUGCUACUCCGGCGAGCGGAGCCGCCGAGCCGCCAUGGAUGCCGGCGAACUGGGCGCCGAGCCGCCGCCUGGCAGAGCGCCCGCCGCUUCGCUCUCUCACUCUCGAACGUGCGAGAAUAGC